GCGCGAAAACUUCGCAAUGCGCGAAAGCGCGACGAGGGAAUCCCAAGUGCUUGCACGUAAGUGUAAGCUGUUUCUAUGUCUAAAACGCAUAGAGAGUAAGAGCUGGGUAAGACGGGUGCCAGCCGCCGCGGUAAUACCUGCAGCUCAAGUGGUGGCCACUAUUAUUGGGCCUAAAACGUCCGUAGCCGGCUUAUUAAAUGCCCGGGUAAAUCGUACGGCUUAACCGUACGAAUUCCGGGUAGACUGAUAGGCUUGGGACCGGGAGAAGCUAGAGGUACUCUUGGGGUAGAGGUGAAAUUCUGUAAUCCUAGGGGGACCACCAGUGGCGAAGGCGUCUAGCUAGAACGGGUCUGACGGUGAGGGACGAAGCCCUGGGGAGCAAACGGGAUUAGAUACCCCGGUAGUCCAGGGUGUAAACGCUGCUUGCUUGAUGUUAGUCGGGCUCCGAGCCCGAUUAGUGUCGGAGAGAAGUUGUUAAGCAAGCUGCCUGGGAAGUACGAUCGCAAGACUGAAACUUAAAGGAAUUGGCGGGGGAGCA
RNAcentral lists this ribosomal RNA (538 nucleotides) under uncultured Thermoplasmatales archaeon. Its description in RNAcentral is "bacterial SSU rRNA". It matches the Rfam family "Archaeal small subunit ribosomal RNA", at positions 339 to 878 of the family's 1478-position model. The record is from RNAcentral. Lineage: Archaea; Methanobacteriati; Thermoplasmatota; Thermoplasmata; Thermoplasmatales.